CAGGAAUAUCCUUUGGCCUUAACAUGAUUCAUUUGACUCUAGCUAAUUUUUUGCACUCUUUUGAAAUACUUAAUAAACCCAAUGAGCCUAUUGAUAUGAGUGAAGCCCUUGGAAUGACCAAUGAAAAAGCUACUCCACUUGAGAUUCUAGUUAAACCACGUUUGUCUUCUAAGUAUUAUGAAUCCUUGUGAUGUGGUAGCAGUAUACUGUCAGAUAGGAUCACUCUUCAUCUGUUUCAAUAAAUCAGUUCAGUGUGUAAUUUGUAAUCUUCAACAUUGUUAAAGAUUGCCAUUGGAAUUUCUAUCAGUGGAAGUGAGUGAAGGAUAGAGAUUAUCUCAACACUGGACAUAUUUGUUCCACACAUUUAUCUCAACAUACUUUUGCUAGCAUGUACUUGGUCUAACAACAGCAGUUCCAAGUUCAGGGUUUUGAUGCAGUUUUAUAGUUCUGCUGCAUAAUUCUGAGUGUUGGUUUGUCGUGCAGUUGAGAACAAAGUAAUCUUGGUACUGUUUUUGGAUCUGGAAUUACAUGUUUUAGUGUGCUUUUAAUAGGUCUGAUGGUGUUAGGGAGAUUUAUAAAGUUUAAAAAAAUCCUUUACUACCUUGCCACUGUUUUCAUCUUUGGGAGAAAUGGAUUCACUCCCAAAGAUUGAGUACUUGCUAAAGCUUGAGUACUUAGGAUAGUUCUUGUUGAAGCUUUAUGUGUUCAGGUUUUUUAACUAGUGAUAGUGUAGAGGUAGAUUUGUCAAAACAGGGGAGGGAAAAAAAACUUAACAUCACAACACAUUUGAAGACUUGGGAAAAAAAUAUAUACUUUUUUUUUCCUUAACUAAGUUUUUAUUCUUAAGAAAGGUCCUUGUUUGACAAUUUUAAUGAAAUAGAAGCAUUAGCUUGUAUAAAUAAUAUAUCAUAACCAUUUAAAUCCAUGUCGAAAGCUAAUGUUUUUUAUUUUAAAAUUUAUUUAAUUUAACGUCAGUUUCACCCACAUUAAUAUUUUUUAUUUAUUUUAAAGUUUAUUUAAUUUAACGUUUGCUUUAUCCACAAGAUAUUUUUUUAUUUUAAAAUUUAUUUAAUUUAGUGUGUGUUUGAGUCUCACUAAUAAUUUUUAUUUUAAAAUUUAUUUAAUUUAAUGUGAACUACAAACUAUAUAAAAACUAUUUUUAAUAUCAAUUUAAAUUGUGUCGAUUUCACCAACAUUAAUGUAAGUAGUUUUGUUUAUCAAUAAUGAAUAAAUAAAUUAAAAGGAAACACUUUAAGGAUAUUUCAACUCUUAUAUAAGAACCAAUAAAACUUCACUUUGGAAGAUUUUAUAUUAUUGUCACAAACAGUUUGUUAAAAAAUGAUAAACUUUUUUUUUUACCUUACCUAGGUUUUUAUUCUUGAGAAUGUCAUUGUUUGUAUUAGCUUAUAAAAAAUAGAUUCCCAAAGCAUUAGCUUGUAAAAAUAAUAUACCACAAGCAGCAUUCAAAUCAAUUGGGAAUGAAACUCCUUCAAUCAUACACAACAAACUACAAGAAAAUAGUUAUUAUUUAACAUAUCCAAAGAAGACACUAAUUAACUAAUAGAGUUGGAUGCAUGUGUGAUUUUAAAAUCGUUGAUACUAAAUCAUUAAUAUUGAGACUCUAAGUAACCGACGCUAAUUUGUCAUUCAUUUUUAAUUAAAAUAAUUUAGUGUUGGUUUGGUUGACACUAUAAUGUUUAAGUGUGGGCAAAAAAUCCAAAUUACGAAAUCCAAUCCAUAAUUAUCCAAAUUCAUAUUUUUGGAUUUUAAAUCCAAUCUAUCUAACUGGAUGUGGAUUAAAUAUAGAUUGGAUACAUUUUUGGAUUAUCCAAAUUGCAUUUUGGGUUGGAUUUUGACUUGACCCGAUCCAGGUUGAGCCAAGACACUCCGGGCCCAGGUUGAACAAAGUCGACCAAAGUCCACGUCGAGCCUAGUCGUCCGGGCCCAAGUCGAAUCAAAUGGUAUGGACCAAAGUCGAGCCGAGUCAACCCUAGACCAAGUCGAGCUGAGUGGCCGAUAUUGAGUCGACCCGAGUCAGCCGGGGCUGAUAUCAAGCCGAGUUGGCCCAUGCCAAUAUCUAGUCUACCCGUUCCGGGCCCAUGUCGAGCUGAGUUUUUCGGGUCCAAUAUGAAGUUGAGCGGGCUCGGGCUGAUAUCCAAACGACCAGGCCAUGGCUGAUGUCGAGUCGAGCUGGCCCAGCUCGAUGUUGAGUCGAGCACGUCCGGGCCGAUGUCGAGCCGAGCGGGCCAAGACCGAUAUUGAGUCGAGCGAGCUCGGGCCGAUGUCGAGUCAUCCGGGCCCGGGCCAAUGUCGAGUCGUUAGAACCCGAGUCGAUGUAAAAUCGUUCUGGCCCGGGCUGAUGUCGAGACUUCCGGGUCCGAGCCGAUGUCGAGUCGUCUGGUCCCAAGUCGAUGUCGAUUCGUCUAGGCCCAGGUCAAUGUCGAGUCGUUUGGGCCUGGGCCAAUUUCGAGUUGUCUGGGCCCGGGCCGAUGUCCAGCCGAGUUGGUCCGCAUCCAAGUUGAGUCGGCUUAGGCAUAGUUGGAGCCAAAUUAGUCUGUGUCUAUAUCAAAAUAAAUUUAAUGUAAUUGAUAAAGUGAAUUUAAUCUAAUUAACAAAGUGGAUUUAAUCUAAAUUUAAUCCACUUUAAAUGGAUUUUAAAAAAAUUCAAAUAAAUUUGAUAUAAUUAUGAAUUUUAAAUUUAAUCCAUUUAUUUAGAUUUGGAUUUAGAUUGGAUUUUCAUCAUCACCCUAAUAAUGUUUUUUUAUUUUAAAAUUUAUUGAAUUUAGCAUUGAUCCAUGCUAAUAUUUUUUAUUUUAAAAUCAAGUACACAUUCAAAAUCUUCAUUCGUAAGUAUGUUUUUUCAUAAAUUUUCUAAAAUAUGUAAUUCCAAGGUUUUAAGUACAUUUCAAAUUGUAUUUUCCAAAAAAUAUAAAGAUUUAAAAUGUCAUUUUUUUCAUCUUUCUACUAUACUAAAAAAAGUACAUAAAGAAAUUAUAGAAAGGAUGCAGGAAGCAAUUUCCCACUUUCCUUUUCUUCCUAGUUGAUCAUUAUUACCAACCGUCUGCAUAUGCGCUGCUCUUGUUUUUGGUCCACAUGAGUCAGAGUGACCAUAGAAUCUUAUCUUCCUGGUCAACUAUCCUUGCUCACCAAGGUUCUCAAAUUAUUGACUAUUCUUCAACUUUAUGAAAUAAAAACAAAUAUGUUUCAGCCACCUUAAAAUAACAAUUUUUGUCUCCAUUAUGCAGAACAUACUAAUAGAUUCUAAUACUUGCAGAUCAAGCACACCAACAUGGGGUGACAUGUUAAACAAAAUGACCUCAUAUUGGUCCAACCAUGCGGCCAUGCACAAGACCCUAUACGCAUCUUCUCCCUAUAAAACCAGAAAGGAAAACAAGUUCAAAUAUAUUCCACCAUAACAAGCAAAAAUGGACUUUCUCCUAAAUUGCUUCACCUUAAAAAUCACCACUCUUAUUGUAUCCUUCCUUUCUCUAUACUUCUUCAUUUUCUAUCUAUAUCGGAGAAAUUCUCGUGGAAAACAGGCUCCAAUAGUGAAAGGUGCAUGGCCAAUACUUGGUCAUCUUUCACUCUUGAAUGCCUCACAAACACCCCAUUGGACUUUGGGUGCUUUGGCUGACAACUAUGGACCCUUGUUCACCAUCAAGUUCGGUGUCAAAGAGGCCUUGGUGCUCAGCAACUGGGAAAUGUCCAGGGAACUCUUCACCACCAACGACCUUGCCGUUUCAUCACGUCCUAAACUCGUUGCCGUGGAAGUCAUGUCCUACAACCAAGCCUUUGUAGGGUUGUCACCAUACGGAUCUUAUUGGCGAGAGCUUCGAAAGAUUGUGACUUCUGAGUUUCUCUCCAACCGCAAAAUAGCGCAACUCAGCCACAUUCGUGUCUCAGAGGUUCAAACCUCUAUGAAAGAGCUCUGCAAUUUAUGUUAUACUAGUGUAAACAACAAGAACAAAAAGGAGAAUGAAUCUUAUAGUGCUGCUACUUUGGUGGACAUGAAGGAGUGGUUUGCACAUUUGACUUUCAACAUUAUAGUGAGGAUGGUGGUGGGGAAGAGGUACUUUGGUGUGGUGCAUGUGGAGGGAAAGGAGAAGGCAGAAAGGUUUCUGAAGAACUUAGAGGAGUUCAUGAAUUUGAUGGGGACUUUCACUGUGGCUGAUGGAGUUCCUUGCUUGAGGUGGUUUGAUUUCGGGGGCUAUGAGAAGGCCAUGAAAGCAACCGCUAAGGAAAUGGACAAGCUGUUGAGUGAGUGGUUGGAGGAGCACCGUGAGAAGAAGGGUGAUGGAGACUUUAUGGAUGUGAUGAUUUCAGCACUGAAUGGGGCUCAGCUUGAAGGGUUUGAUGCUGAUACAAUAUGCAAAGCCACUUCCCUGGUUAGUACUACAAUAUAUUUAAAUACUUGCCAUCAUUUCAAAGAUUGAAUGUAUUCCACUUUAUUUCUCUGUUUUGAAUGAGAGGACCCUUUUGAUGAAACUUGAACAUAUUUGCAGGAAUUGAUUUUGGGUGGAACUGAUACAGCUGCUGUUACUCUUACAUGGGCACUAAGUCUGCUAUUACGAAAUCCUCUUGCAAUGGAAAAGGCUAAAGAAGAAAUUGACAUGCAUAUUGGCAAAGAUGGACACGUAAAAGAGUCAGAUAUAAGCAAACUUGUGUAUCUUCAAGCCGUAGUUAAAGAGACAUUGAGAUUGUAUCCACCAGCACCUCUUUCAUCACCUCGUGAAUUCAUAGAAAAUUGCACCUUAGGUGGCUACCACAUCAAAAAGGGAACUCGACUGAUGCAUAACUUGUGGAAGAUCCACAGAGACCCCAGUGUUUGGUCAGAUCCAUUAGAAUUCAAACCAGAAAGGUUCCUCACCACUCACAAACAUGUGGAUCUUAGGGGUCGCCAUUUUGAGUUGCUACCCUUUGGAAGUGGGAGAAGAAUUUGUGCUGGAAUGUCCCUUGGCUUAAACGUGAUCCAUUUCAGUUUGGCUAACAUGUUGCAUUGCUUUGACAUCUCGAAUCCUUCGGCUGAACCUAUUGAUAUGACCGAGUUCUUUGGAUUUACCAAUACCAGAGCUACUCCACUUGAGGUUUUGGUUAAGCCACGCCUAUCUCCAAACUACUAUGAAGCUUUAUAAUCCUUAUGUAAGGCAUUGUCCAUGGUUCAAAGUUAUGGUUGCGGUUGCAGUUACAAUUUCCUCGCAAAACUUGACAUUACAGGAAAUUGUGGACAAAUGCGGACUAAGUGAUUGUGAUGAGUUGAAAAACCUUUAUUUUGCGGCUGAAGUUGCAGUUGUUAACUUCAAUUUAGAACUACGGUUUUGUGAGUCUUAUAUGUUGUAUGUGUUCAAAUCGAAUCAUGGUUUGUGGUCUAUUCUAAGUUAUGUGAACUUGUGAUAGUUUUGUUCCUAGGCAGAUUUAUGUCACACGUAUUUAGCUGUCAUGAAAUAAAUGUGAUCUUGUAAUAAAUUUAUUUGUAUCACUGUAUGGGUUUGUGAUUUUUUGGAGAAGAUAUUAUCAUAAAAGAAUAAAUGAGAUGAAGUUGUUCAUUCCCAAUUUCCGAGGGUGCUUUGGAUUUAUUCUAUGAAUGAAUUGCUUAAUUGGUUAACCGUGAGUGAUGAAGUUGUCUGUGCAAUAAUUGGAAACCAGAGGCAAAAUAGAGAGUGUACUAAUUAGCGUAGCAAAUAAUAAGAAAGUGAUGCAUAACAGUGAACUAUAGGACAAAUGAUCUAAACUGCAAAAUCCACAAUUGAAGCUUGAAAAGUAAAGGUGUUUGGCUAUUGGGGUUGUUGGAUUUGGUUAAGGGGAGGGGUAGUAAGUACUUAUGUUCCACUUAGAGUGAUUAUUUUUUCACCCUCAUUUUGUGUAUGUACUAAUUAUAUAAAUAUAUAUAUAUAUAUAUAUAUCACUUUCUGAUCUUAAAGAAAUUAAAAGAAAAAUAAAACUUUAAUUUAAUGUCAUGUCAUGUUAAUAAACUGGAAAAUUAUUAUUGUAAUAUAAAUUUGUAAAAUUCUAUUACAAAUUAGAAAAUAAAUACGACCACACUUUUUUCAAUUAGAAGCGAAAAUUUAUAUAUAUGUUAGGUUUUUGUCUUCAUUAAAACCAACACAUGUGGUAACCUUCCAUUUCCGGUUUGAAAAUAUGUAAACCUCUUUUAUCAAAAUUAAGAACUCAUGAUAAUAUCUUUAUACUAAAAAAUAAAAAAUAAAUAAAUGCUUUGUUUAUUUACCAAUAUAACUUACCCAUUCAUUUAUACCUUUUUCUUUUCAAAAUUUUAAGAUUAUUUCAUAUUUUGUUAUAAAAAAAUAUUAUAUUACACUGACUUUGUUAUUAAAGAAAGAGUAGAUAAUUAAGUGAAAGAGGAAAAAGUAAUGAUGGAGGUACAAAUUUUUCUAAGUUAACUUCUUUAUCUUGAGUGAAAAUGUAUAAAUUAAUAUCAAAAUUAAAAGAAUGGAUUGACAGUUUUUUUUAUGGACAAAGAAUAAUUAAAUUAAGAUAAAGGGACACUUUAAGAGUGUUCCAACCCUUUUACAUAUUUCAUUAUUAGCUAGCUUAAACUAAAAUUAAAAUUAGCUGAAUUUAUAGCACAACAUGUAACAAGCUUAAGCUUCCUAAAUAGCUUUACAACCCACGGCCAACACACCCACUUUUUCUGCAUAAAAAACCAGCAACACUCUUCCGCUCCCUUCACUCUCCAUGAGCCUUUAGAGUUGCUAAACCCAAUUCAGUGCGUUGAUAGAUAAACCAAAUUCUACAUUCUUCUGCGUAAUUAUGCAGAAUUAAAAACCAUAUUGUACUAAUAACAAGUUGCAAUUGCAAUGGCCAUAAGAUUUUGUACUGGUGAUGAAUUAACAACUAUGGAUGGAUCCUAACCCCAAACCAAAAAAAAAAUAUACAAAUUCAAACGAUUCAUAAUUAUAUAAGUUUCUAACAGAAAAUGGUAGAUUUAUGAUAGGACAUGAAUAAGCCACUUGACAAAAGAAUAUGAUGCUUUUAAGAAAAAAACCAUCCAAAGGUCUUUAAUUAUAUUUCUAUAUUUUUUUUCUAAGUUUUAAAAGUCUUGUCUUGAUAUUUGCGUGUUAUUUCUUGGGGAAUUCUUUGUAUUUUUUUUCCAAUUUUCCCAUAUAAAGUCUUGUCUUUUCAUUUUUCUUAGCAAUAAUAGAAUGAAAAAUUUGACUUAUUUAAAAAUAUUCAGUAUUAUUGGAGCAUUUUUGUCCGUUCACUACUUUAUUGUUUGAUAGAAUCUUAUCGUCCGGAACAAUAAUUAAAUGGUGCAUAGAAUUCAACUGUGUAAGGGACCUAUUUGGAUUAGAAAGUACUCAUACUUUGUUCAACUAAGUCACGUACUUUGUUUCCUUCUAUCUUUUUUCACGAUGACAGAACAGUAGGGAUCAUCAGUGUUUUGAUCUGUAAAUUUAAAAAGAGUGUGAAGAUGGAAAAAUGAGUGAGAGAUCAUUUGUUUCUUCUCUCUCAAUAGUAUAGAAAGUCAGCAAGAAAUAUUUUUGAAAUUUGGAAUCAGAGUUAUUAAUACUCCGAAUCAACAAUUGAUUAUGUUUUUCUUUUUUUUUAGGUGGAUAAUCAAUUAUAAAUAUGUAAAAUUAUGAAAGAUAAUCAAUUAUAUUUUGUCGAGUUUCUUAAAGAGAGUUGUCUCACGUCCUAGGUGAUCUCUACUUACCCAUAUGUGUUGGUUUCAGGUAUAGAUAUCCAUUUGUUGAAGGUCGUUCGAGCUUUUUCUAGGAGUAUGACAUGGAUUACUUUGGUGUUGAGUGUCUGGUACUCAAAUUUUAGCUCGAGACAUUUUCUCUACCUCUUCUUACCCUUAAAAAGCAAGGGCACCAUGCGUCCUUGAACUGGUAACCAUCUUUCGAUUAACCUAGCUUCCUCCGUCUCUCGAGACCAACAAAAGAUAGUACAUGAAUAUUCACCUGUUAUCCAUCGAUUAUGCCUUUCAACCUGAUUUUAGACCCUGACUCACCUCUUUAAAUUGAUAAUCGAUUAUGGAUGAAAGAGAAUAGAAGAUAAUCGAUUUUUGUUCUGUUCUUCCUUCUUCAUCCUGUCAUCCGUGGUUUGUUUCCUACAUCUUUCUUUACUCUUUUUUUAAUUAUAUCCUCUUUUUUCCAACACAACAAAUCCAAAAUAGUUAGAUAAAUAUCAAAUAAACGAGACAAUCUUUUAAUAAUAAUAAUAAUUUUAGAUGGACUGAGAUAUUAUGUGAAUAGUUUUAUUGGUCUAGGAAAUUAUAUCUUUAAUUGGGAAAAAGGGAUCAAUAAUAAUAAAUUGAGAAAGGAAACAAAAUGAGGAUAAGGAAUAGUGGUAUUAAUUCACUACUAAAAUUAACAUUACUAUUAACUUUAUGUAAUAUAAUAUGUAAUGAUACUUUUUUUUAACAUGUUAAUGUAGUUUUUAUGAAUACAUUAAAUUGUAUUUUUUAAUAUAAUAGAUAAUUAAAUUUCAUAAUAUUAUUAAUUUAUAUAUCAUAAUAUUUUUAAAUUUUAAAGAUGCACAAAAAAUUUCUUAGCCAAAUUUUAAAUACUGAUUUACUUUUAAAAUGUAUUAAUUUUUUAAUAUUAAAAUUAUAUAAAUACAUUAAUUUAACUAACAAAAUUAUUUUAAAUUAAUAAAUAAAAAAUUAUAUAAUUAUAAUUAUAUUUAAAUUUAAAUUUUAAAAUUUAUUUAUUUAUUUAUUUUAAUUCUACAUUGUUUUAUUCUUUUAUUUAUAAUUAAAAUUUUAAAUUAUUUUAAUUAACUAAAAUAUACACAAAAUUAAUUAUUAUUUAUUUCUUUUUUUAUAAAAAAAGUAAACUUGUAAUCUUAUAAUUUAUACAAUUAAAAAUAAUUCAAAAUAUCCUUACAACUAUCACAUCACUCACAUAUUUUAAUAAACUUUCCUCACCCAUCUAAUGUAAGAUACUCUAAUCCAAAUAAUGUAAACUUUCUUCACACUUUUUUUUAUCAAAUAUUUACAUUUAUACUCUCUCACACCCUCAACUUUUUACUUCUCAAAUCAAAUAAAACAUAUGUACCUUUUAAUAAAUGUUCAUUGACGAAUGUGAGCUUAAAAUUAUUACACAUCGUUUUCUUAUGCUUUCAUUUAUAUUAAUUUAAAAUCUAAAUAAUUGGUAGUUAAAAUUUUGGUAGCUAAUUAUAUACCAAUUUAGAAACUAUUUAACAAUAAUAGAAACUAAUUUAGAAAUUAAAAAAUUUGUUAGUUUCUAAAAUAAUCUCUAAUUUAGUAACUAUAACAAAUAAUUAUUUUUGUCUCUAAAAUUAAUUUGUUAGUUUCUUGUAGUGAUUAAUUUGUAUGAGAAUUUAUCUUUUAAAAACUUAAUAGUAAUCAAUUUGAUAAAGAUUGAGAAAAAAAAAACAUGGUUUUGUCUUUGCAAAAAUCGUUAGUUGACCAUCAUGAUAAACUUUUACAACACAAAACUUACUAUAAAAUAGAUUAAGAAAAUAAGAUUGAAAAAACUAUUUAAGUUAUUCUUGUGAAUGAAAGUAAAUCUCUAUAUCUAUUAUAAUUAAAUAUGAGAAUUAUAUAUAUACUCAGAAAUUCAGAGUAAUGUUGGUGUCAAUAAAUCAUAACCCAAUCCUUGAAGAAAACUUAUAUUUUUACAUUUUUAUUGAUAUUUUGAGUUCAAUUUAAUUAUUAUAUUUUAAAUUUCAUCUUCAUUUGACUUAGAUUUUUAGAUAUGGAUAUAAUAUUACCAAAUUCAAAAGUAUCUUAAUUUUUUUUAAAAUAAAGCUAAGUUUUGAAAUUGUUGUUAAAUUAGUCCAUCUUAAUUUAGGUUUGAUUUUCAAAAAUUUGGAUUCAAACACAAUUUAUCUAUUAAUAUAACAUGUCUUAAUUUUUAUUAUAUCUCUAUACUUUUCUACUAAAUUUAAAAAGUUGUUAUUUUUGGGAAUUCUUUGUUCACUAGGAUAGAAAAGCAAUAAAUGUGUUUUUGUUUGUUUUCAAUUAAUUAAAAGGAUUGAAAAAGACUGAUUUGAGAAGGAAAAAGAAAGACAAUGAAACAUUAAAUCCUCUGCUCAUACAAACACAACCAUAAAUUCUUGUCUUUUCAAUUUUCUUACCAAUAAUAGAAUAAUUUAUUUUUUUAUUUAUUUUAAAAUAUUCAGUAUUCUUGGAGAUUUUUGUCUCAUUCACUACUUUAUUGUUUGUAGAAUCUUAUCGUCCGGAACAAUAAUUAAGUGGUACAGUUGUAGCCUUACUUUCUGUGCCACUUAUCCUAUGCUAUGCUCAUAUUCGUUAUUGGUGUUGCUUAUAUUCUUACAAUUCUUAAGAUUUAUAUAGUUAUUAAUGUAAAUUGUUUAAAAAUAUAUAUAUAUAUAUAUAUAUAUAUAUAUAAUAAAAAAUAUUAAAGUAAUAAUAUUGUAAAAAUGGAUGUAUGGUUUUUAAAAGUAUUAUUUUUCUUCAAUUAAUAUUAGGGUAUGUAUUAUUUUUCUUUAAUUAAUAUCAUUCUUAUGGAUUUGAAAAGAUUUGAUGUGAAAAUGGGGUUAUUUGGAUUAAUAGAAGAUGAUAAGAAAUAAAGAAAAAGUUUAAAAAAAGUUAAUGAAUGAUGUGAUAUGUGUUAUUGAUAAAAUAUUAUUUUGUAAUAAAUAAAAGUGUAAGAUUACAAAUAUAUCUAGUUAAUAUUAAAUUAAAUUAAAAUAUGAUUAAAUUGUUUUAUGUAUAAAUAAAUAAAAAAUAUGUAAAAAUACUUUACAAAUUUUUUGAUAUAUAUAUUUAGUACAAAUAAAAUGGUUAAUUUUUUUAAAAAAUUAACAAAUAUAAAUUCUAAAUUAUUUAAUAUAUAUAAAUAAAAUUAUUAAAUUAUUAAAAAUUCUAAAUAAAUACAAUUUGGAAGAAAAAUAUUUAAACUUUUCCAUAGGGCCAAAAUGUAAUAGCAUUUACUCUAUAUCGAUUUUUUCCAGAAUCUCUUCAAAGACACAAGGAAAAAAAAUAAUUAUUCUUUGCUUUUCUAUCCACAUGAAGAGUAUUCAUGCGGAAACCUACACUUAGAUUGGAAGGGGAUAUGUGAGGAUUUGAAGAAGAGAUGUGAGAGGAGAGGAAAAUAUGUGUAAGAUUUUGAGGAAAUGGAUGUGUGAGUGCGUGAGAAGAAAGUGUAAAGAAAGUGAAGUAAUUUGAAAUAUUAAAAAAAUAAAUCAGAAAAUAAAUUAGAUCUUACAUAAAUAAAAAAUAUUAUUUUUUAAUAUUAAAAACUAUCUAAUGAAAAAUAAAAAUAUUACAACAACAAAAGUAUAAUCUAAUUAACAAUAAUAAAAAAGAGUUUUAUAACAAAUUAUAACUCAUAAAUAUAAUAAUUACAAAAAAAAUAUAUUUAUAAAAACACAACAAUAAAUUAAAUAAUAAUUUUUUUAAAAUAUACUAUAAAAUUAAAAAAUAAAUCACAUCUUACAUGAAUAAUAAAAAAAAAUGUCCUUACCACUUGCAUAUACAUAUUAAAAUCCAAUUUGUGUAACAUAGAGCAUGGGAUACACAAUCUUCUCUUGGAUAAAAUAAUGGAUCUAAAUGUUUCUGCAAUUGGACUUGUUUCUCUAAUCGUCUUCUGUUUCUUUUUCUAUGGCCACUUCAAAUUUUCUCAAGGAAAAGAAGCUCCCACAGUUGCAGGUGCAUGGCCAAUACUUGGUCACCUUCCAUUGAUGAGUGCUUCAAAGUCACCCCACAGAACCUUGGGUGCUUUGGCUGACAAAUAUGGACCCAUUUUCACCAUCAAACUUGGUGCCAAAAAAGCUUUGGUAAUCAACAACUGGGAAACGGCAAAGGAAUGCUUCACAACAAACGACAUCGUCGUUUCCUCUCGCCCCAAGCUUGUUGCCGCAGAACACAUGAGCUACAACAAAGCCAUGUUUGCCUUAGCACCCUGUGGUCCCUAUUGGCAAAAAAUAAGAAAGAUUACAGUCUCAGAGAUUCUCUCCCCUCAGCGAGUGAAGCAACUACGUCAUGUUUUUGAGUCAGAAGUUGAAGAAUCGAUCAAGGAGCUCUCUAACUUUUGGUGCAGCAACAAGAAUGAGAGCGGUUAUGCCUUGGUGGAGUUGAAGCAAUGGUUUUCUCAUCUGAUAUUCAACAUGGUCCUUCAAAUGAUUACAGGGAAGCGAUAUUUUAGUGCAGCAACUGUGGAUGAUGAGAAGGCACAGAGAUUUGUGAGGGCUGUGGAGGAGUUCAUGCGCCUGUUCGGGGUGUUCACAGUGGGAGAUGCUGUUCCAUGGUUGAGAUGGUUUGAUUUUGGAGGGCAUGAGAAGGCAAUGAAAGAAACUGCAAAAGAGUUGGAUAUUAUUCUUGGUGAGGAGUUAGAGGAACACAGAAAAAGGAAGGGUUUGGGUGAGAAGGAUGAUGAAGUUCAAGAUUUCAUGGAUGUGAUGAUUUCAUUGUUUGAUGGAAUAACUAUUGAUGGGUUCGAUGCAGAUACCGUCAUCAAAUCCACUGUACUGGUAUGGAUCUUUAUUGCAUCUUAUUUUUUUUAUUAAAUCACAUUAUAACUUUAAAUUUUAUUGUACAAAAAUUAAGGUAUUAAAACCAAAACCAUUUAUGAAUUUGAGAAAGAUAAACAAAUAAUAUUAAAUAUUAAAUAACCAAAAUGUUGUGAAGAUGUUAUGAAUUAGGGAUUUAGUGUAAUUUUUUCUUGUAUCUCUAUCACUUUCUUCUUAGAUUUCAUACUUUGAAAAAUACUCAAAUUAUCUUUUAAUAUUUUUUAUUAAAUAUUUUUUCUUUAAUUUCGGAAUAUGCACGUUAACUUCCUGAUUUAUAAAAUUUAGAAGUUAAAAUUUGUGUUUGGGAUUUUACAAUAUUUCUGAUUGUACAAUUCAAAAUUUCAGAUUGUAUAAUUCAAAAUACAAUUUUUUAUAUCAAAUUAUAGAAUUUAAAAUGAAUAAUUUUAGAAUUUUUUACGAAUAUAAGACUGCAAGAUAAAUUAUGAGAUGAAGAAAUAAACUUUUAAAUUUUUAAAAAUGAGGAUUAUGGGGAUAGAUCACCUGUCUCACACUUGGCUUAUGCGGGUUAGGCGAAAUGAUUUAAAUUCUAAAUUUGGUAGCAAAAACUUUGUAGCUAAUUAGAUACAAAUUUAGAAAAUAUUUAACAAUAAUAGAAACUAAUUUAGAAACCAAAAAUUUGUUUAGUCUCUAAAAUGGUCUCUAAUUUAGUCAAUAUAGUAAUUAAUUAUUUUUUGUCUAUAAAAUUAGUUUCUAUUUAAUGAUUUUCUUGUACUGAUGAUUUGUUUAUGUUAUAGAAGAACUUGUGAAUAAGAUCAUAUCCUUAUUUUGUAGUUAGUGAUUGCAGGAGGAACUGACACAAGUAGUACUCUUCUUACGUGGGUAAUAUCUUUGAUUUUGAGAAAUCCUUUGGUAUUGGAAAAAGUAAAAGUUGAACUAGACAUUCAUGUUGGAAAAGAGAAAUGUGUAAGUGAGUCUCAUAUAAGCAAGUUAACAUAUCUUCAAGCCAUAGUCAAGGAAACAUUAAGAUUGUAUCCUCCUGGUCCUCUUUUGGCACCUCAUGAAAUUAUAGAGGACUGCAUUUUAAGUGGUUAUAAUAUAAAAAAAGGAACUCGUCUAAUCACAAAUCUUUGGAAGAUUCACACAGACAAGAAUGUUUGGGAAGAUCCAUUGGAGUUCAAACCUGAAAGGUUUCUUACAACUUACAAAGAUCUCGAUGUCAAAGGUCAUCAUUUUGAGCUAAUACCAUUUGGAGGUGGUAGAAGAAUGUGUCCAGGAAUAUCCUUUGGCCUUGAAGUAGUGCAAUUCUCUCUUGCUAGUAUUUUGCACUCUUUUGAAUUUUUAAGUUCAUCACCUGAUCCUAUUGACAUGACCGAAACCUUUGGAUUAACCAACACCAAAGGCACUCCACUUGAGAUUCUUAUUAAACCACGUCUAUCUUUUAGUUGUAACGAAAACAACUAAUCCAUGUGCUAGCUAUGCUGUCACAAUUUGUUUUCAUUUAAAGUACUUUUUUUCUAUAAUAUUGUUCAAAGUCUUUGUUAUCUUUGUAUUUUCAUUCAAAGUGCUUGAUAUAUUUGUACUUUCCUUCAAAGUACUUGAUAUAUUUAUAGUUUAUCUUGGUAAACUUUGAAACUCUUUCAAAUAUAUAUUAUUUUUAGUAGACUUUCUUUAUUGAGUCAGGUUAGAGAGUUGGACCGUAUUUAGAGAUUCAUUGCUUAAUUCUUAAUCGCGGAUUGAAGUGAUUAAUCCUAUUUGAACGUAAUUGUAUUUAUGUUGUCGAUCAGUUCAUUAAUGUGGAUUACGAUCUCGAUCGGUCACUGAUAAGUCUCGAGAGAUUACAUUAGUCGAUACAAUUAAUGAAUUGCUUAAUUGGUUAACCGUGACUGAUGAAGGUGUGCAAUAAUUGGAAACCAGAGGCAAAAUACAGAGUGCACUAAUUAGCUUAGCAAAUAAUAAGAAAGUGAUGCAUAACAGUUUCACAUAGAAAGAGUUUUGCAAAUCCUUCAACGGGUGGGUGCCAUUUUUACAUGCACCACAUCUCUUUUUUCAGGUAAGUCACGUACUACUUUAAUAUUUAUGUACCCUUUGAUUAAAUGCCUCAUUGGUCAAUGAGCUUACGAUUAUAACACAUCAUUUUCUUAUGCUUUCAUAUUAUAUUAAUAUUCAAAUGACCUACACUGCAAAAUGAUGUGUUAGUAUAACGUGUUUUAAUUUUAAUUAUAUCUCUAUACUUUUUUUCUAUUAGUUUUAAAAGUCUUCUCUUGAUUUGUGCGUCUUAUCUUUAGUCGGGGAUUCUUUGCAUUUUUCCAAUUUUCUCAUAUGUACCACGAGGAACAAAGUCUUGUUUUUUGAAUUUUCUUAGCAGUAAUAGAAUGAAAAUUUUGACUUAUAUGUAAAAAUAUUAUUCAGUAUUACUGGAGCAAUUUUGUCCCAUUCACUACUUUAUUGUUGAGUGGUUCAAUAUUUGUGGCUGAAGACAUCAUAUAUAUAAUAUAUGCGAACCUUAUAUUAUUUUAAUUUAUUUCUUUUACAUGAACUUGGACUUUAUUGAUUCUGGUCUAAAUUAUACACCUUAACCUACCCACAUUCACAAUUCACUUAUGAACAUCUUUUUUCUUAAAUAUCAAUUAACCUUGGAAGAUAUAUACAACAAAUAUCAAGCUAUUAAGGUCAAUAUCUUGUGUUCAUAACACAAUAUUUUUUUCUCAACAAAUCCUUAAAAUAUAUCCUUAACUAUUUUUAAUUAAAUAUUUUAAAACAUAUAUUUUUUAAUUGUUUUUUAUCGUUUAAUUUUUUAUUAAUUAAGUGACAUGAUUAUUAUUUUUCUUACCAUCUUGCGGUUAAUAUAAAAUAAAACAAUAUUAUAGUUAAUGUAAAACAAUAAGCUUAACUAACUUUAUUUUUUCAUAAAAGAAUUAUUAGAUAACGAGUUUAUCAUGUUUUUUUAGUUGUAAUUUUCAUGUCAUCAUAUACCAUAAAAAAAAGAUCAUCACCAUUGAUAUAAAUAGCAAUUAUCAAACACUUUUUCAAUGAAAAUAAUAAAAAUCACUUUUCAAUUUACAUUAAUCACAAUUUAGUUUUAUAUUAAACACAAAACAUCACAUUUUUAAUAUGUGGAAACAAGUAGCAGAGUAAUGGAAUAAAAUAAAAGUAAUGUAAACCACACAAAAUUAAACAAAAAAAAAAAUUCAAUUUUUUUUUUAAUACUAUUUAAUAAAAAUAACCUAGACCUUGAACCCUAAAUUCAUAGUAUUUUGAUUUUUAAAAAAAAUAAAUUUUGUCUUAUUUUUAAAAAAAAAUAUACAAUUUGAUCUGUUUUAUUAAAUUAACAUAAAGAGGAGGAAGUGGUGACAUGAUGUGACAAAGUUAUAAACGCACGUAUAAAAAUGUUAUAAAGUAUGAUUUAAAUUAGUAAUUACAAUUCACUGCAUAAUAAUUUAAAUUUUAAUAUUUUGAAACUUAACCUUAUAUAUUUUAAAUAUUUUUUAUGGCAGCAAACUUUGAAAAUAGUUAUUAAUUAUUAUUAUUAGUGGUAGUUAUAUCUUAUAAAAAUUACAACACAAUUUCCAAGUAAAAUCAUACUUAGUCUUUGAAAAGUUUGACUUUUCCUUCUCUCUGAAGGAAUGAAGGAUCUAUUUAACCACUCCUACUUUACCCUACCUGAAACACACAGAGCCUCAACUCGCUCAAAUGGAUUUGGUUGUAAAUUCCUUGAAUGCAACCACCAUUGCACUCGCUUCUCUAAUUCUCUUCUGUUUCUUUCUCUAUGGUCUCUUCAAAUUUUCUCGAGGGAAAGAACCUCCCACAGUUGCAGGUGCAUGGCCAAUACUUGGUCACCUUCCAUUGAUGAGUGGUUCAAAGUCACCCCACAGAACUUUGGGUGCUUUGGCCGACAAAUAUGGACCCAUUUUCACCAUCAAACUUGGUGCGAAAAGGGCUGUGGUAAUCAACAACUGGGAAAUAGCAAAGGAAUGCUUCACCACAAACGACACAGUCGUUUUCGGUCGCCCCAAGCUUGUUUCGGUGGAACUCAUGAGCUACAACCAAGCCAUGUUUGCCUUAGCACCCUAUGGUCCCUAUUGGCGAAAAAUAAGAAAGCUUACAAUUUCAGAGAUUCUCUCCCCUCAGCAAGUGAGGCAGCAACGUCAUCUUUUUGAGUCAGAGGUUCAAGAAUCGAUCAAGGAGCUCUUUGACCUUUGGCGCAGCAACAAGAAUGAGAGCGGCUAUGCCUUGGUGGACUUGAAGCAAUGGUUUUCUCAUCUGAUAUUCAACAUGGUCCUUCAAAUGAUUACAGGGAAGCGAUAUUUCAGUGCAGCAACUGUAGACGAUGAGAAGGCACAGAGAUGUGUGAGGACUGUGGAGGAGUUGAUGCGUCUGAUGGGGGUGUUCACAGUGGGAGACGCUGUUCCUUGGUUGAGACGGUUUGAUUUGGGAGGGAAUGAGAAGGCUAUGAAAGAAAUUGCUAAAGAGUUGGAUAUUAUUCUUGGUGAGGAGUUAGAGGAACACAGAAAAAGGAAGGGUUUGGGUGAAGCUAAAGAUUUCAUUGAUGUGAUGAUUUCCUUGUUUGAUGGAACAAUUACUGAUGGGGUCGAUGCAGAUACCGUUAUCAAAUCCACCAUACUGGUAUGUAUCUUCAAUAUGAACAUUAUAAUCCUUUCAAACUUCAACCGUCUAGUAUUUUAUUUUUCUUUCUAAUUUUGUUUUCUGCAUGGCACAGUAUAGCAUGGUUGAAUAGUGUAUAUUAGGGAUAACGAUCUGAGUCAACCCAUUCUAGAUAGAUAUGUCCUGUUAAAAAGUACAGAUUAAUUCUAUUGGUUUAUCUCUAAGGAAAAGAUUUCUUUAACAUCCAAAAAUAAAAUACAUACAAUUUAACAAAUCAUUAUAAUAAUAUUUUUAAAUUAAAAAAUAAUAUAACAAUGUUCUGAUUUUCAAUAAAAUUUGAAUUUUGAUUAUAAUAAUAAAUUAUUUAAUAAAAUAUUUUAUUAAAUAUAUACAUUUUUUUAAAGGUAAAUACAUUAUUACUAUUAAUUUGAAAAAUAAUAUAUUUAUAUAUAUAAUACAACCUUUAAAUUUUAUUAUAAAAAAGACUAAGGUAUUUUUUUUUUUUGAAAUGUCCCUUUUAAUUCAAUUUUAUUUUUUGUUGACAAAAAAAAUAUACUUUUUAGAAAGAUAAAAAACACCAUUUAUUAAAAAAUCAUUAUUGAAUUUUGUGAGGGUGAUAUAAAUUAGGGAUUGAGUGUAGAUUCUUCCUGCAUCUCCAUGCCUUUCUUCUUGCAUCCCAUUAUACAAAAAAUACUCAAAUUAUGCUUUGGCAUUUUUCUUUAAUUCCGAAAUGUGACAUUUAAUUUGGAAGUUAAAAUUUGUUUUGGGAUUGUACAUUAUUUCAGAUUGUACAAUCCAAAAUACAAAUUUGUAUACUAGAUUAUUGAAUUUGAAAUAAAUAAUUUUACAACUUUUGAGAAUAAGAGGUUGCUAGAAGAAAUAAAUAAGAUGAAGAAAUUAAAUAAAUUUAUGAAUUAAAAUUAGUUUAUAUAUGAAUUAAAAAUAAUAUUUUAUGUAAAUUGAUUUUAAUAUAUGAUUUUUUUUUUGUUUUAUAGAAGAACUUGUGAAUAAAACCAUAUUCUUAAUUUGUUUAAUUUGCAGACACUGAUUGCAGGAGGAACUGACACAAGUAGUGUUGUUCUUGUGUGGGCAAUGUGUUUGAUUUUGGGAAAUCCUUUGGUAUUGGAAAAAGUGCAAGCCGAACUAGACAUUCAUAUUGGAAAAGAGAAAUGCGUAAGUGAGUCUGAUAUGAGUAAGUUAACAUAUCUUCAAGCCAUAGUCAAAGAAACUUUAAGAUUAUAUCCUCCGGGUCCUCUUGCGACACCUCGUGAAUUCACAGAGAAUUGCACUUUAGGUGGUUAUAAUAUAAAAAAAGGAACUCGACUAAUCACAAAUCUUUGGAAGAUUCACACAGACAAGAAUGUUUGGGAAGAUCCAUUGGAGUUCAAACCUGAAAGGUUUCUUACAACUUACAAAGAUCUCGAUGUUAAAGGUCAUCAUUUUGAGCUAAUACCAUUUGGAGGUGGUAGAAGAAUGUGUCCAGGAAUAUCCUUUGGCCUUGAAGUAGUGCAAUUCUCUCUUGCUAGUAUUUUGCACUCUUUUGAAUUUUUAAGUUCAUCACCUGAUCCUAUUGACAUGACCGAAAACUUUGGAUUAGCCAACACCAAAGCCACUCCACUUGAGAUUCUUAUUAAACCACACCUAUCUUUUAGUUGUUAUGAAAACAACUAAUCCAUGUGCUAGUUAUGCGGUCACAAUUUAUUUUCAUUCAAAGUAUCGUUCAAAGUCUUUGCUAUCUUUGUAUUUUUGUUCAAAGUGCUUGAUAUAUUUUAAUUUUCCUUUAAUGUACUUGAUAGAUUUAUAGCUUAUCUUUGUAAACUUUGAAACUCUUUCAAAUAUAUCAUUAAUAAAAAGAAUAAUUACACCGCAUAUUCUCACUACUUUAUUCCUUCUUUAUCGAUAUUUUCUUUAUAUUUUUCAAGUCCCUCUUAUGGAAAUAAAUCUUUGUAAAUUUUUUUCCUCUAUACAUCCUUCCAACUAGUAAGGCUCUGAUUUGGAUGUGAUUUGAAUCAUUCUUUAGCUUUUCCUGUCAAUGAGAAAGGAAAUAAACGUAGAUAAACAGUUUCAAUAUCACCUGAUUGAAAGUCUAUUGUUCCUACCAAUUCAUAAAAUGUAGACAAAUGUGUAUAUGGAUCCUCAUGGUCCAUUGUUGUAAAUUGAUGGGUACUUAUCAGACUGAGGAAUGCAGGUUUCAUCUCCAAGGCGUUGGUGGUAGAAGGUAUUGCAAUACUAGAGAAAUGAUGGCCUCUGGUGCAUAGCAUAAUCUCCAAGUGUUCUCUUGGGUUGUUGAUGACUUUUUACGGCAAGUGCACUGUGUUUGUCAGAAGUAAUAAUUGUCCCUAAGAACGAAUAUCAAUCCACAAGGAACAAUGAAGUGAAUUAUUGAGUACAAAAUUCGCUAAAUAUAACAACAGAACAAUAAAAAGAGUUUUGAAGUGAUUGUGUUGACACCGAUCAAUAAUAAAAUAAACAAAGAAUUAGUUGCUUGAAUUGAAAAAAUAGGGAUUAGGUUUCAUUUUUCUCACUCUCAUGUAUUUUGAUUAGGAUGUUAAUAUUAAGUUCUUUGAUUGAAAUUGAUGGCCAUAAAAAAUUCAUUUUUAUCGAUCCCUCGCAUAUAAAAUCCUUAAAAAUGUUUCCUAAAUAUCGAUCCCUUGCAUAUUUAUAAAAACAACUUAGAAUCCCAUUGAGACGUUAAUGUCAAUUAACAUUUCAAGUUUAUCCUUAACACUCAAAUAUGUUAAGUAUUGUUGUUCAGGUUUGAACCCUAAAAAUACCUCUCGGUUAGAUUUAAGACUAUCAAUUUGUCACGGAAAGUUAAAAGUAAAACAACAAUACCAAUAAUCAAUCAAGAACUUAAUAUUAAUAUAUAAGAUAUCACCUCAAUAUAUAAGAGUUUGAGCAUAUUACUCCAAAUCCAAAAUGGUAAAAUUAGCCACGCAUACUUCUAGCACCUUCCAUUCUCCUAAUUGGGUUACAAUUCACUCUAUGGUGUUUUCCUCUCAAUCUGACACAGUAGGAUUGAGCCUCUAGCCCCCUAUUUAUCCUAAUUUUCUAGGGUUAGGUCGCUUCUUAUGUCGUGCUAAUGGGCUAAGUGAUAAAACAUAAAAAAAACCCCAAUCUUUCUGACGUAUUCUCGCUCAAGCGAGAUACUCUUGUGGCGAAAUAGUCUUUUUCUGCAUCUCUUUGCAUUCUAGGACCUACCUUCUAGCUUUAUCUUUUUAGCUCAAAUUAUUCUCCUUUACUCCAAAUCUUCAAUCCUCCCUAAAAAUAUGCAAUUAACACCAAAUUUGGGAAUAAAAUUCUCUUAUUCAAAUAAAGAUCAUACAAAAUGUAUAAAUUCAUAAAUUAGAGAUUAUUCUAUAUGUAAAUUAGCAAUAAAUCCUCCUAAGUGCCUAAAUUUUAAUAUGAAAUAUUACUGAAAUUAGACACUUAUGAGUUGUGGUGGUGGUUUUUUUUGGCUAUAAUGCUUUCUUCUUGAAAAAUAUUAAUGGGAAGGAAAAAAAUGGUUAAGGAUUCUUCUAUAGUCUCUUUGUUUUUCUGUUCUCUUUCUCUCGUUGUUUCUUGUAGCUGCCUUUUCAAUCUCUAAUUUAAACAAUUGAGGAUUCUUCUAGCAGAAACAAUUUAAGCCAUAACAGUUCUUGGAGUUAAUCUUUAAAAGGUUUAAUUUGUAUUUUUUAGAAGUUCACAGUGUAUAAAAAAAUAAUUUUCUUUAAAAAUUAGAUUCAAAUUGGUUCUACAACAAUGUGCUUUGAUAAAAGACUUUACUUUUAAAUUGUAAAGCAAGAUUCAAAUCAGCUUUCAAUAACCGUCUAUUUAAACAAUAAAACACUUUAAAUCACAUUUUAAAAUCAAAUUUGAUAUGAUGAUGUUUAAAACCAGUUCCAAAACGAGAUUUCUUAUUGAUGGUUUGUUUUUAAGUAUGAACUUGUCAUCAAAGACACCAUCCAGUUUUUAAGUUUGAUUAAUUUCUUUAGUUGUUAGAAGUAAUGAAUACGAGAGAAGAAUAACACACAAUGAUUUAUACUAAUAUGAGAGAAGUAGUGUAUAUACUCUUACUUACGAUAAAGAAUUAUAAAAAUUAAAAGAAGUAAAACUUGACGAAAUUUGUACUUCCAUCAUUAUUUUUUCCUUUAUCACUUAUUUCUAUACUCUUUCUUUAACAACAUUGUAAUAUAGCGAUUUUUUAUAACAAAAUAUGAAAUAAUUUUAAAACGUGUGAAGAAAACGGUAUGGAUGAAUGGAUACGUUAUAUUGAUAAAUAAAUAAACCACAUGCGUUGGUUUUAAUCAAGACAAUAACUUGACAUAUACAUACGUAUCUCCAAAAUUUUAUUUACCCAAUUCUUACCAAAAAUAUUUUAAAAUAAUUAAUUUGUCGUCGUAUAAAUUCUCACUUCUAAUUGAAAAAUGUAUGAGCAUAUUUAUUUUCCAAUUUGUAACAAAAUUUACGAAUUUAUAUAUAAUUUUACAAUAAUUAUUUUUUAGUUUAUUAACAUGGCAUAAAAUUAAAGUUUUCGUUUUCUUUUAUUGACAUGUUGGUCGAAUAAGAGGUUUUUUUUAUUUUAUUUUAAUUUCUUUAAUUAUUUAAUUACCUAAAUUAUUUCAAUCAACACAACAAGUAAGAUAGGACGUUUAUAAAUAAUUAUCAGAAUAAUAUUUCAUUAAGUAAACUAAUUCUUAAUAUUUUAGAACAGUUACCAACAAGUAUCCACAGUUAAAAAAUAAAAAUAAAAAUAUAAAUUUAAUAUAUUAUAAAAAAAUAGAUUUGAAUAUUACACUUAUCAAAAUUACUUUCUAUUUUAGUUUCUAAUUUUUUUUAUAGACUCUUGAAUUAAAAAAUUAAAAAUAUUUUUUAUUCAUCCCAAUCUAAAAGUGAUAGUUUAGUCUUUUGAAAUUUAAAUACUAUUUUGAGUUAUCUAAUUUAUUAAUAAUUGACAAAUUCGUUAAUAAUUAUAGAUUCAAUUGAAAAAAAUAAAGAAUAAAAAAAACAAAGCAUCAAUGACAUAAACUCAUAAUAAUGAAUCCAGACACUGAAUUACAAAACAUUAUUUUAUUUAUAUGAAUUCGAUUGCACUUUCUUUAUAAUGAUAUUUCUUUUGAGUUUUAAUUAUCUAGAAAUUUUCCAAACAAUUAUAUGUGACAAAGCAUGAACAUGAAAUCAAUAACAGUAUAUAUGAAGUUGAAUGUGUAACGAUGUGACCAUUUUACACUAUCAAUCUAUUCCAUGUUUUUCCAUUACAAUUUGAUUUGUGUGCUUAAAGUGAUCAAUCAUGGAUGCAAAUAAUGAUGAAAUAGAAAUUAAUAUGCUCAUAAAAAAAUAAAGGCAACGUUGGUGUACCUAACAUGGUGGUGACGAACUACAUCAACUACAUUAGAACAGUUCUUUUAUGGGUGGUGUGUGUGCUGCCUUAUGUGAAUAAGGAAAAUUUUACGUAUAUAUUGUGGAGGUAGGAAAAGUUUUAUCUACCCCACGGGACGCCAAAUGUUCUAGCCAAGAGGGAUGUCUCCCUACUAAAGCGUACAAUUAAGCCAGAAACAAUGGUUUCUAGCCCUAAAGUGUUUGUCAGGUCAUCUUCUUUCCCUUAUAUAAGUUAGUGCUCUCCUCCCUUUUUGUAUCCCUUCUUGUUUUGAGUUAUAUUUUCAAAUUGAUUACAAUCACAUAUAUACGGUCGAUCUCCAUAAUCAACGCACUCUCCUCUUUAUGAAAAAUAAAUAAGAUCUUUUUCAUUAAUUUCAGAGAUAGACUAUUUCACCACAUCAUCGGUCUGAUAAGUUCAUAACCAUUAUUUACAUAGAUCGACACAAAAACCAUUUCACCAUGUGAUAACACUCGAUCCAUGAUCUCACAAUACCAAAUUAAAAGAAUUCUUAAUUUUUUUUGAAAAUAAAGCUAUUUUGAAAUUGUUGUUAAAUUAUUUCAUCUUAAUAUUUAGGUCUUAUUUUCAAAAUUUGAAUUCCAACACGAUUUAUCUAUUAAUAUAACGUGUCUUAAUUUUAAUUAUAUCUCUCUAUACUUUUUUAGUAAGUUUUAAAAGUCUUGUCAUGAUUUGUGCGUGUUAUCUUUACUCGGGGACUCUUUGUAUCUUUCCAAUGUUCUCAUAUGUCCCACAAGAGACAAAGUCUCUUUUCAAUUAUUUUAGCAAUAAUAGAAAACUUACUUAUUUUAAAAUACUAUUCAGUAUUAUUAGAGCAUUCUUAUUGGGGUAAGUCAGGUACUACUUUAAUGUUUAUGUACUGUUUGAAUAAAUGUCCCAUUGAAAAAUGUGAGCAUUUUUGUCCCAUUCUUAACUUUAUUGUUUGGUAGAAAUUUUUCGUCCGGAAGAGUAAUUAAGUGGUGCAGUUUCUACCUAACUCUCCGGCCACCUGUUUAAUGCUAAUACGUCGUCAUUCGUGCUCAUAUGUUGAUGCGAAAAGAUUUAUUUCACAUUAAAAACAUAUAUUUAACAUCACAUUAUUAUAAUAAUAUAAUCAGGUUUAAAAUUAAAAAAUAAAUUAAAUAUAUGUUUAAUAUGUCUCAGUUUUUUUUUUCAGAAAAUGUUUUUUAUGAAUGAUUUAAAAUGUUUUUUUUCUUAUUUUUAUAAUUAUAAUAUAAUCUUUUAGAAUAAAAAUUUAAUUUUUAAAAAAUUAAUAUGUUUUUUCUUUUAAAAAUUUUGUUAGAAUUCUAAUAAAAUUGUCAAAAAUUUUAAAAAUAUAUUUAAGAGACGUAUUUAACUUAGUUUGAUAAGUAAGAGAUUUGUGAAAGGUAUUAAUUAAAAGAGUGGUGAUAUAUUAACACUUUUAAUGAUAAAAACACAUUUUUUUUUAAAUAAAAGUUUUCAUGUUAGACAUCAUUAUGCAGUUUUUACACUUUUUAUACUAUAAUAAAUUAAUAUUUUAUUUAUUUUUAUUUUAUUUUUUAAUUUAAAAAUAUUAUUAUAAACAAUGUAAAUGUAUGUUUUUUUAUUCACUAUAAUAAAAUCAUGAAAUAGAAACCAAUUUGUAGAAAUCAAAAUAAUUAGUUGCAAUAGUAACUAAAAAGAAAUUUGGUUUCUAAAUUAGUUUCUAUUAUUGUUAAAUAGUUUCUAAAUUGGUAUCUAAUUAGCAACUAAGGUUUUUCUACCAAAUUUAGAAACUAAAUAAUUGGUAGUUAAAAUCUUAAUUGCUAAUUAAAUAUCAAUUUAAAAACUAUUUAAUAAUAAUAUAAAUUAAUUUGAAAAACUAAUUUUGUUUACUUUCUAAAUAUUUAAUGAUUUUCUGUCUGAACAAAACUUUUCUCUAAUUAAGAAGGAGUGAUACUUUAUAAUUUGUGUUUUAUAAAUAAUUACUUUACAAUUUUGCUAUAGUGAUAUAAUAUUUAAAGUUAUCUAAUUAAUUUAUACUUUUUACAUUUAUUAUAUUAUUAUAGUUGUAAAGUAUUAUAAAAUUAUCUUUAUGUUGAGUAAAAAAUAGAUGAUUUGAUAAGUAAUUAGAGAGAUCUUUAUAAAAGUGGAGUGAUUUUUGUCUAUUAUCACUAUGAAGUUUGUUAUUGACACGAUUUUUCCAAAUUUAGAAAAUAACUAUAUUUUAAUUAUGAGUGGCGGCAAAUAUUAACUCAUCUUUUCAAGAGAGAAAUGAUAUUUUAACUAUAAAAAAUGAUUUGAUUUGAUUGAUUUAAAUAUAAAUAUAUAUUAUAAUAAGAUUGUAUAAAAUAGUAGGGUUGUUAGAAACCUAAGAACAGUGUCAGAGAGUGACUCACAAGUUAGAGAUAUUAAAAUCCAAUUUGUGUAGCCUCAAGCAUGCAUCGCAUACACAAUCUUCUCUCUUGGGUAAAAUGGAUCUAAAUGUUUCUGCAAUUGGACUUGUUUCUCUACUUCUCUUCUGUUUCUUUUUCUUUGGUCUCUUCAAAUUUUCUCAAGGAAAAGAAGCUCCCACAGUUGCAGGUGCAUGGCCAAUACUUGGCCACCUUCCAUUGUUGAGUGCUUCAAAGAGACCCCAUAGAACUUUGGGUGCUUUGGCUGACAAAUAUGGACCCAUUUUCACCAUCAAACUUGGUGCCAAAAGCGCUUUGGUAAUCAACAACUGGGAAACGGCAAAGGAAUGUUUUACCACAAACGACAUAGUCGUUUCCUCUCGCCCCAAGCUUGUUGCUGCUGAACACAUGAGCUACAACCAAGCCAUGUUUGUGGUAGCACCCUAUGGUCCCUAUUGGCGAAAAAUAAGAAAGAUUACAGUUUCAGAGAUUCUCUCCCCUCUGCGAGUGAAGCAGCUGCGUCAUGUUUUUGAGUCAGAAGUUGAAGGUUCGAUCAAGGAGCUCUUUGACUUUUGGCGUAGCAACAAGAAUGAGAGCGGCUAUGCCUUGGUGGAGUUGAAGCAAUGGUUUUCUCAUCUGAUAUUCAACAUGGUCCUUCAAAUGAUUACAGGGAAGCGAUAUUUCAGUGCAGCAACUGUGGAUGAUGAGAAGGCACGGAGAUUUGUGAGGGCUAUGGAGGAGUUCAUGCGUCUGUUCGGGUUGUUCACAGUGGGAGAUGCUGUUCCAUGGUUGAGAUGGUUUGAUUUUGGAGGGCAUGAGAAGGCAAUGAAAGAAACUGCGAAAGAGUUGGAUAGUAUUAUAGGUGAGGAGUUAGAGGAACAUAGAAAAAGGAAGGGUUUGGGUGAGAAGGUUGAUGAAGCUAAAGAUUUCAUGGAUAUCAUGAUUUCAUUGUUUGAUGGAAGAACUAUUGAUGGGGUCGAUGCAGAUACCGUAAUCAAAUCCACCCUUCUGGUAUGUAUAUUCAUUACACACACAUUAUAAUCUUUUCAAAUUUCAACAAAAUUCAACAUACAUAUAAAACGAAUUAAUAUAUAUAUAUAUAUAUAUUUAUAUUGGUGUAUGUAAAUUUUUUCUUAAGAGAUAUUUAAAAAAAAAAAUAGUUUCUAUUAUUAAUAAAUAAUUUCUAAAUUGGUAUCUAAUGUUUUAAUUAUCAAUUAUUUAGAUUUUAAAUUUUGUAGAAAUAAUCUUGGUAGCUAAUUAGAUACCAAAAUAGAAACUAAUAACUUUUUUAGUCUCUAAACUAGUAUUUAAUUUACUCAAUAUAACACCUAGUUAUAUUUGGUAUCUAAAAUUGGUUUCUAUUUAAUGAUUUUCUUGUAGUGAUGGUUGUAUAGUUUAAUAUAUACCAUGAUUGUAAAGUCUAUCUAAAGAACGAGAAUGCCGGUUAGCCUAUCCUAUAUAGGUCUGUUCCAUAUAGAAAAUGAAUGUUGAUUUUAUUGGUUUGUCUUUAAUGCUGAUUGCUUCCCAAAUGUGCACAUAAGAAAUAUAUAUUUUAAAUUAUAAAAAAUAAAUUUUGAAUAUUUUUUUUAUUAAGUUAAUCUUUUAUUUAUUUAAAUGAAUUAGAUAAAUUGUCUCACAAUAUUAUUCUCAUGAUAAUGCCUAAUAAGAUAUAGGUAAAAAAUAAUAUUAUAAUUAUGUUUUGAUUUUCUAUAAAAUUAGAAUUUUAAGGCAAAUACAUUAUUACUAUUCUAAUUUGAAAAGUAAUAUAAAAUAAUAUAUAUAUAUAUAUAUAAUACAAUUUUUAAAUUUUAUUAUAAAAAAAGAGUAAGGUAUGCUAAUGCAUUUGACAUAUGAUGAUAUGCAUUUCAGAAAGACAAAAAAACACCAUUAAAUAUUAAAAAAUCAUUAUUGAAUUUUGUGAAGGUGCUAUGAAUUAGGGAUCCACUGUAGUUUCUUCAUGCACCACCUCCAUGUCUUUCUUCUUGCAUCCCAUAGUUCAUAAAAUAUUCAAAUUAUCCUUUGAUAUUUUUCAUUGAAUGUUUUUCUUUAAUUCUGAAAUGUGGCAUUUCAUCUAGAAGUUAAAAUUUGUGUUUGGGAUUGUACAUUAUUUCAGAUUGCACAAUCCAAAAUACAAAUUUGUAUACCAGAUUAUAGAAUUUGAAAUGAAUAAUUUUAGAAAUUUUGAGAAUAAGUGGCUGCAAAAAAAAUCAUGGGGGUAUAUAUAAAAAAAACUAAUUCUUAAAAAAUGUGGGUUAUACGGGUCAACGUGCCUUAUCCCACACUUUGCCGGUAUGUGCUACGGGUUAUGCGAGGCGGGUCAACAAGUUGAAAUAGCCAGUCUACCCUGUAUUUCUUUUAGCGGGCCAAGGACUGGUCUACACGACCCACUCCGUUUUGCCAUCCAUAAUUUAAGUAACUAGUUACUAAAUAUAAAGUAUUAUAAUUAUGUGAAAUAUAUAUAAUAAAUAAUUUAUUUACGUAAAUUACACUAUAGUAAUUUUAAAUUUGAUUAGAGUAAACACUUGUAAAAUAUUCUUCUAUCAUGUCUAUUGGCAAUUUUUUCAAGUAAAUGUAUCCACAAACACUUACAAAAGAAAUAAAUAAGAAGAAGAAAUUAAAUAAAUUUUUUACAAACUAAAAUUAGUAUAUAUGAAUUAAAAAAAUAUUUUACAUAGAUUUAUUUUAAUAUAUGAUUUGUUUCCCUUAUAGAAGAACUUGUGAAUGACCAUAUUCUUAAUUUUCUUAAUUUGCAGGCAGUGAUUGCAGGAGGAACUGACACAAGUAAUAUUGUUCUUACGUGGGAAAUAUCUUUGAUUUUGAGGAAUCCUUUGGUAUUGGAAAAAGUAAAAGUGGAACUAGACAUUCAUAUUGGAAAAGAGAAAUGCGUAAGUGAGUUUGAUAUAAGUAAGUUAACAUAUCUUCAAGCCAUAGUCAAGGAAACUUUAAGAUUGUAUCCUCCUGCUCCUCUUUCGACGCCUCGUGAAUUCAUAGAGGACUGCACUUUAAGUGGUUAUAAUAUAAAAAAAGGAACUCGUCUAAUCACAAAUCUUUGGAAGAUUCACACAGAUAGUAAUGUUUGGGAAGAUUCAUUGGAGUUCAAACCAGAAAGAUUUCUUACAACUCAUAAAGAUAUUGACGUCAAAGGUCAUCAUUUUGAGUUAUUACCAUUUGGAGGUGGCAGAAGAAUGUGUCCAGGAAUAUCCUUUGGCAUUGAAGUAGUGCAUUUCUCUCUUGCUAGUUUUUUGCAUUCUUUUGAAAUUUUAAGCUCAUCACCUAAUCCUAUUGACAUGACUGAAAACUUUGGAUUAACCAACACCAAAGCCACUCCAC
RNAcentral lists this long non-coding RNA (28059 nucleotides) under Phaseolus vulgaris (common bean). Its description in RNAcentral is "long non-coding RNA (PVUL_LNC003278)". Lineage: Eukaryota; Viridiplantae; Streptophyta; Magnoliopsida; Fabales; Fabaceae. The record is from RNAcentral.